GAUGAACGCUGGCGGCGUGCCUAAUACAUGCAAGUCGAGCGAACAGACGAGGAGCUUGCUCCUCUGACGUUAACGGCGGACGGGUGAGUAACACGUGGAUAACCUACCUAUAAGACUGGGAUAACUUCGGGAAACCGGAGCUAAUACCGGAUAAUAUAUUGAACCGCAUGGUUCAAUAGUGAAAGACGGUUUUGCUGUCACUUAUAGAUGGAUCCGCGCCGCAUUAGCUAGUUGGUAAGGUAACGGCUUACCAAGGCAACGAUGCGUAGCCGACCUGAGAGGGUGAUCGGCAACACUGGAACUGAGAAACGGUCCAGACUCCUACGGGAGGAAGCAGUAGGGAAUCUUCCGCAAUGGGCGAAAGCUUGACGGAGCAACGCCGCGUGAGUGAUGAAGGUCUUCGGAUCGUAAAACUCGGUUAUUAGGGAAGAACAAAUGUGUAAGUAACUAUGCACGCCUUGACGGUACCUAAUCAGAAAGCCACGGCUAACUACGUG
Molecule: ribosomal RNA, 497 nt
Filed under: uncultured bacterium
Lineage: Bacteria
Description: partial 16S ribosomal RNA
Rfam family: Bacterial small subunit ribosomal RNA
Source: RNAcentral